This 74-nucleotide transfer RNA is filed under the name Idiomarina sp. Its description in RNAcentral is "tRNA-Cys". It matches the Rfam family "tRNA". Rfam says of the family: Transfer RNA (tRNA) molecules are approximately 80 nucleotides in length. Their secondary structure includes four short double-helical elements and three loops (D, anti-codon, and T loops). The record is from RNAcentral. Lineage: Bacteria; Pseudomonadati; Pseudomonadota; Gammaproteobacteria; Alteromonadales; Idiomarinaceae.
GGCGGGUUGGCAGAAUGGCUAUGCAGCGGAUUGCAAAUCCGUGGAUCUCGGUUCGAAUCCGGGACCCGCCUCCA